This is a long non-coding RNA of Zingiber officinale, 587 nucleotides long. RefSeq lists it as uncharacterized. NCBI's taxonomy places the organism in Eukaryota, Viridiplantae, Streptophyta, Magnoliopsida, Zingiberales, Zingiberaceae. The transcript is spliced from 2 exons. The record is from RefSeq and is a predicted model, not a curated record.
GCCACGUCUCGCGGGAAGGUCACCAAGAAGUUGGUGAUGAUGCAGGUGAGUCGGGGCACGUCGGGGGAUGAGUUGAGCUCCAGAAGCAGCUCGUGGAGCGCGGCGGGGCAGUUUCUGACGAUGGAGAACCAGACGUUGAGCAGGAGCUGGCGGUAGCCGAACUCGGUGUUGACGAAGGUGAUGUAGAAGCCUUUGGAGUGCAGAAGCUGCGCGAGCUGGAGCAUGGGGUUGAGUUGCCCUGCCGUCGGGUAAGUUAUCAGCACUGCAUGAGGAAGAGGCAUCUUCUUCUUCUGCAAAAUUUGCGCUCGGUACUGUUGUUUCGCUGCUUGCAGGUUUAUUUAUAGAAGAAGAGCAGCCGUCACUUCGUCUUCUCCGCCAUGUCUUCACCGUCUGUAAAGCAGAAUGGGCGGUCCGAGCCAGUUCAUCUCGUCAAAGGAGACGACGCAAUAAUAAUAAAAACAAAAUUUUUAAAUGAGAAUUUUAUUUUGUAAAAGCCCCCGAUAAUUUAUCAUAUUUUGACUGUUGACCCUCAUAGUUGGAAUAUUGUAUUUUAUCCUUAAAAUUUGCAUGACUUUUAUUUUCUCAAA